RNAcentral lists this ribosomal RNA (1058 nucleotides) under uncultured Cryobacterium sp. RNAcentral's name for it is "bacterial SSU rRNA". It matches the Rfam family "Bacterial small subunit ribosomal RNA", at positions 337 to 1393 of the family's 1533-position model. The record is from RNAcentral. Lineage: Bacteria; Bacillati; Actinomycetota; Actinomycetes; Micrococcales; Microbacteriaceae.
UCCUACGGGAGGCAGCAGUGGGGAAUAUUGCACAAUGGGCGCAAGCCUGAUGCAGCAACGCCGCGUGAGGGACGAAGGCCUUCGGGUUGUAAACCUCUUUUAGUAGGGAAGAAGCGACUGGGUUUUCCUGGGAGUGACGGUACCUGCAGAAAAAGCACCGGCUAACUACGUGCCAGCAGCCGCGGUAAUACGUAGGGUGCAAGCGUUGUCCGGAAUUAUUGGGCGUAAAGAGCUCGUAGGCGGUUUGUCGCGUCUGCUGUGAAAACCCGAGGCUCAACCUCGGGCCUGCAGUGGGUACGGGCAGACUAGAGUGCGGUAGGGGAGAUUGGAAUUCCUGGUGUAGCGGUGGAAUGCGCAGAUAUCAGGAGGAACACCAAUGGCGAAGGCAGAUCUCUGGGCCGUAACUGACGCUGAGGAGCGAAAGCAUGGGGAGCGAACAGGAUUAGAUACCCUGGUAGUCCAUGCCGUAAACGUUGGGAACUAGAUGUGGGGACCAUUCCACGGUCUCCGUGUCGCAGCUAACGCAUUAAGUUCCCCGCCUGGGGAGUACGGCCGCAAGGCUAAAACUCAAAGGAAUUGACGGGGGCCCGCACAAGCGGCGGAGCAUGCGGAUUAAUUCGAUGCAACGCGAAGAACCUUACCAAGGCUUGACAUAUACCGGAAACGGCUGGAAACAGUCGCCCCGCAAGGUCGGUAUACAGGUGGUGCAUGGUUGUCGUCAGCUCGUGUCGUGAGAUGUUGGGUUAAGUCCCGCAACGAGCGCAACCCUCGUCCUAUGUUGCCAGCACGUAAUGGUGCGAACUCAUGGGAUACUGCCGGGGUCAACUCGGAGGAAGGUGGGGAUGACGUCAAAUCAUCAUGCCCCUUAUGUCUUGGGCUUCACGCAUGCUACAAUGGCCGGUACAAAGGGCUGCGAUACCGCAAGGUGGAGCGAAUCCCAAAAAGCCGGUCUCAGUUCGGAUUGAGGUCUGCAACUCGACCUCAUGAAGUCGGAGUCGCUAGUAAUCGCAGAUCAGCAACGCUGCGGUGAAUACGUUCCCGGGCCUUGAACACACCGC